RNAcentral lists this ribosomal RNA (921 nucleotides) under uncultured phototrophic eukaryote. RNAcentral's name for it is "bacterial SSU rRNA". It matches the Rfam family "Bacterial small subunit ribosomal RNA", at positions 56 to 1020 of the family's 1533-position model. The record is from RNAcentral.
UGCAGUCGAACGAAAUCUUUAGGGAUUGAGUGGCGGACGGGUGAGUAACGCGUGAGAAUCUGCCUCUAGAAUGGGGACAACAGUUGGAAACGACUGCUAAUACCCAAUGAGCCGAAAGGUAAAAGAUUUAUCGUCUAGAGAGGAGCUCGCGUCCGAUUAGUUAGUUGGUGAGGUAAAGGCUCACCAAGACGGCGAUCGGUAGCUGGUCUGAGAGGAUGAGCAGCCACACUGGGACUGAGACACGGCCCAGACUCCUACGGGAGGCAGCAGUGGGGAAUUUUCCGCAAUGGGCGAAAGCCUGACGGAGCAAUACCGCGUGAGGGAGGAAGGCUUUUGGGUUGUAAACCUCUUUUCUCAAGGAAGAAAAAAAUGACGGUACUUGAGGAAUAAGCAUCGGCUAACUCCGUGCCAGCAGCCGCGGUAAUACGGAGGAUGCAAGCGUUAUCCGGAAUCAUUGGGCGUAAAGCGUCCGCAGGUGGCAAUCCAAGUCUGCUAUCAAAGACCAGAGCUCAACUCUGGGAAGGUGGUGGAAACUGGAUAGCUAGAGUACGGUAGGGGUAGAGGGAAUUUCCAGUGUAGCGGUGAAAUGCGUAGAGAUUGGAAAGAACACCAGUGGCGAAGGCGCUCUACUGGGCCGUAACUGACACUAAGGGACGAAAGCUAGGGGAGCGAAAGGGAUUAGAUACCCCUGUAGUCCUAGCUGUAAACGAUGGAUACUAGGCGUUGCUUGUAUCGACCCGAGCAGUGCCGUAGCCAACGCGUUAAGUAUCCCGCCUGGGGAGUACGCACGCAAGUGUGAAACUCAAAGGAAUUGACGGGGGCCCGCACAAGCGGUGGAUAUGUGGUUUAAUUCGAUGCAACGCGAAGAACCUUACCAGGACUUGACAUCCCGCGAAUCUCUUGGAAAAGAGAGAGUGCCUU